CAGUCGCCACGGUAAUACGUAGGGUGCGAGCGUUAAUCGGAAUUACUGGGCGUAAAGCGUGCGCAGGCGGUUGUGUAAGACAGGUGUGAAAUCCCCGGGCUUAACCUGGGAACUGCGCUUGUGACUGCACAGCUAGAGUAUGGCAGAGGGGGGUGGAAUUCCACGUGUAGCAGUGAAAUGCGUAGAGAUGUGGAGGAACACCGAUGGCGAAGGCAGCCCCCUGGGCCAAUACUGACGCUCAUGCACGAAAGCGUGGGGAGCAAACAGGAUAGAUACCCCGGUAGUCCCUGUCUCUUAUACA
RNAcentral lists this ribosomal RNA (301 nucleotides) under uncultured bacterium. RNAcentral describes it as "partial 16S ribosomal RNA". It matches the Rfam family "Bacterial small subunit ribosomal RNA", at positions 509 to 808 of the family's 1533-position model. The record is from RNAcentral.